Molecule: ribosomal RNA, 495 nt
Filed under: uncultured bacterium
Lineage: Bacteria
Description: partial 16S ribosomal RNA
Rfam family: Bacterial small subunit ribosomal RNA
Source: RNAcentral
GACGAACGCUGGCGGCGUGCUUAACACAUGCAAGUCGAACGGAAAGGCCCUGCUUUUGUGGGGUGCUCGAGUGGCGAACGGGUGAGUAACACGUGAGUAACCUGCCUAUAAGACUGGGAUAACUUCGGGAAACCGGAGCUAAUACCGGAUAAUAUAUUGAACCGCAUGGUUCAAUAGUGAAAGACGGUUUUGCUGUCACUUAUAGAUGGAUCCGCGCCGCAUUAGCUAGUUGGUAAGGUAACGGCUUACCAAGGCAACGAUGCGUAGCCGACCUGAGAGGGUGAUCGGCGACACUGGAACUGAGACACGGUCCAGACUCCUACGGGAGGCAGCAGUAGGGAAUCUUCCGCAAUGGGCGAAAGCUUGACGGAGCAACGCCGCGUGAGUGAUGAAGGUCUUCGGAUCGUAAAACUCUGUUAUUAGGGAAGAACAAAUGUGUAAGUAACUAUGCACGUCUUGACGGUACCUAAUCAGAAAGCCACGGCUAACUACGUG